This 253-nucleotide ribosomal RNA is filed under the name uncultured bacterium. RNAcentral describes it as "partial 16S ribosomal RNA". It matches the Rfam family "Bacterial small subunit ribosomal RNA", at positions 524 to 776 of the family's 1533-position model. The record is from RNAcentral.
UACAGAGGUCUCAAGCGUUGUUCGGAUUCAUUGGGCGUAAAGGGUGCGUAGGCGGCGCGGUAAGUCGGGUGUGAAAUCUCGGAGCUUAACUCCGAAACUGCAUUCGAUACUGCCGUGCUUGAGGACUGGAGAGGAGACUGGAAUUUACGGUGUAGCGGUGAAAUGCGCAGAUAUCGGGAGGAACACCGGUGGCGAAAGCGGCUCACUGGACCACAACUGACGCUGAGGCGCGAAAGCUAGGGGAGCAAACAGG